RNAcentral lists this ribosomal RNA (468 nucleotides) under uncultured bacterium. RNAcentral describes it as "partial 16S ribosomal RNA". It matches the Rfam family "Bacterial small subunit ribosomal RNA", at positions 28 to 507 of the family's 1533-position model. The record is from RNAcentral.
GACGAACGCUGGCGGCGUGCUUAACACGUGCAAGUCGAACGGAAAGGCCCUGCAUUUGUGGGGUGCUCGAGUGGCGAACGGGUGAGUAACACGUGAGUAACCUGCCCUUGACUUUGGGAUAACUUCAGGAAACUGGGGCUAAUACCGGAUAGGAGCUCCUGCUGCAUGGUGGGGGUUGGAAAGUUUCGGCGGUUGGGGAUGGACUCGCGGCUUAUCAGCUUGUUGGUGGGGUAGUGGAUUACCAAGGCUUUGACGGGUAGCCGGCCUGAGAGGGUGAGCGGCCACAUUGGGACGGAGAUACGGCACAGACCACUACGGGAGGCAGCAGUGGGGAAUAGUGCACUGUGGGCGGAAGCCUGAUGCAGCAACGCCGCGUGCGGGAUGACGGCCUUCGGGUUGUAAACCGCUUUCGCCUGUGACGAAGCGUGAGUGACGGUAAUGGAUAAAGAAGCACCGGCUAACUACGUG